GACGAACGCUGGCGGCGUGCCUAAUACAUGCAAGUAGAACGCUGAAGGAGGAGCUUGCUUCUCUGGAUGAGUUGCGAACGGGUGAGUAACGCGUAGGUAACCUGCCUGGUAGCGGGGGAUAACUAUUGGAAACGAUAGCUAAUACCGCAUAAUAGUAGAUGUUGCAUGACAUUUGCUUAAAAGGUGCAAUUGCAUCACUACCAGAUGGACCUGCGUUGUAUUAGCUAGUUGGUGGGGUAACGGCUCACCAAGGCGACGAUACAUAGCCGACCUGAGAGGGUGAUCGGCCACACUGGGACUGAGACACGGCCCAGACUCCUACGGGAGGCAGCAGUAGGGAAUCUUCGGCAAUGGACGGAAGUCUGACCGAGCAACGCCGCGUGAGUGAAGAAGGUUUUCGGAUCGUAAAGCUCUGUUGUAAGAGAAGAACGAGUGUGAGAGUGGAAAGUUCACACCGUGACGGUAUCUUACCAGAAAGGGACGGCUAACUACGUG
RNAcentral lists this ribosomal RNA (495 nucleotides) under uncultured bacterium. RNAcentral describes it as "partial 16S ribosomal RNA". It matches the Rfam family "Bacterial small subunit ribosomal RNA", at positions 28 to 507 of the family's 1533-position model. The record is from RNAcentral.